RNAcentral lists this non-coding RNA (757 nucleotides) under Malaxella flava. The record is from RNAcentral. Lineage: Eukaryota; Metazoa; Arthropoda; Insecta; Hemiptera; Delphacidae.
AAAUGAUUUAUUUGAUCAAAUUAUUUUUAAAAGCUGCUAAUUGAAAAUAGAUGUAAAAAUUUUAAUGAUAAUUUUUAUUUAAAUAGUGGGAGUUUAAAUUUUCAGUGUUUAAAAUUAAAUUAAUUAUUAUAGGUAAUUUUAGUUAAUUUACGAUAAAUUAGGGAGAAUAAAAAUGUGCCAGCAUUCGCGGUUAUACAUUGUCCUUGAGUUUUUCUAUUUAAAGGAAAGAGUUUAUUUAAUUUAAUUUAUUCUACUUUAAUGGAGGUGAAAUGAAUUAAAGUUUUAAUUUUAAAAAAUUUCUUUAAAAUUUUGAGUUUAAACUAGGAUUAGAUACCCUAUUAUUCAAAAUUAAUUUUUUCUUUUUAGUAUUUUAAUUACAUAAUAAAUUAAAUUGAUUUGGCGGUUUAUUAAACUUUUUAGAGGAAUCUGUAAAUUAAAUUGAUAAACCACGAUUUUUAAUACCUUUAAUUUUUUGUAUAUCUCUAUAAUGAAUAUUUUUUGAGAAUAAUUUUCUUUUUUUUUUAAGAAUCUAAUUUAGGUCAAGGUGCAGUUAUUUGAAGGUUUUAAUGGAUUACAAUUAUGCAAGUUAGUGAAUGAAUUUUUAAUUAAUUAUUUUGAAAUUGGAUUUAAUAGUAAUUUAUUUUAUUUAAAUAUUUGAAUUAUGCUCUAAUUAAUGUACAUAUCGCCCGUCAUUCUCAUUACGUGAGACAAGUCGUAACAAAGUAGAUGUAUUGGAAAAUGUAUCUAGAAAGAUUUA